UGAGGAAGAGGGAGCCAUGUGGGUAC
This 26-nucleotide non-coding RNA is filed under the name Homo sapiens (human). The record is from RNAcentral. Lineage: Eukaryota; Metazoa; Chordata; Mammalia; Primates; Hominidae.